UACGUAGGGUGCGAGCGUUAAUCGGAAUUACUGGGCGUAAAGCGUGCGCAGGCGGUUUUGUAAGACAGGCGUGAAAUCCCCGGGCUCAACCUGGGAACUGCGCUUGUGACUGCAAGGCUAGAGUACGGCAGAGGGGGGUGGAAUUCCACGUGUAGCAGUGAAAUGCGUAGAGAUGUGGAGGAACACCGAAUGGCGAAGGCAGCCCCCCUGGGUCCGAUACUGACGCUCAUGC
Molecule: ribosomal RNA, 232 nt
Filed under: uncultured bacterium
Lineage: Bacteria
Description: partial 16S ribosomal RNA
Rfam family: Bacterial small subunit ribosomal RNA
Source: RNAcentral